UUGCUUCAGCAGCAAAUAUAUGAAAAUUUGAAUGAUACAGAGAAAAUUUGCAUGGCCUCUGUGCAAGAAUGACAUGCAAAUUGUGAAGCAUUUCAUUUUUUA
Molecule: small nuclear RNA, 102 nt
Organism: Heterocephalus glaber (naked mole-rat)
Lineage: Eukaryota; Metazoa; Chordata; Mammalia; Rodentia; Bathyergidae
Source: Ensembl